UGUAAACCCAUUUCUCAACAGGUUUUCACAGUGAUGAGUUGGGUUUUGACUAGUUGUGAUGACACAUCUAAUCCUCUCUGAUCCCAUUUUGGAGCUCCGAGCUCAUCUAUCCAUGAAAUGUGUGUUUCUGUGUGUGUGUGUGUGUGUGUGU
Molecule: long non-coding RNA, 151 nt
Organism: Thalassophryne amazonica
Lineage: Eukaryota; Metazoa; Chordata; Actinopteri; Batrachoidiformes; Batrachoididae
Exons: 3
Source: RefSeq, a predicted model, not a curated record